AGAAUCAACGCUGGCGGCGUGCCUAACACAUGCAAGUCGCACGAGAAAGGGGCUUCGGCCCUGAGUACAGUGGCGCACGGGUGAGUAACACGUGAAUAAUCUACCUCCGAGUGGGGAAUAACUGAGAGAAAUCUUAGCUAAUACCGCAUAACACUUACGAGUCAAAGCAGCAAUGCGCUUGGAGAGGAGUUCGCGGCCGAUUAGUUAGUUGGCGGGGUAAUGGCCCACCAAGACGAUGAUCGGUAUCCGGCCUGAGAGGGCGCACGGACACACUGGAACUGAAACACGGUCCAGACUCCUACGGGAGGCAGCAGUGGGGAAUUUUGCGCAAUGGGGGAAACCCUGACGCAGCAACGCCGCGUGGAGGAUGAAAUCCCUUGGGAUGUAAACUCCUUUCGAUAGGGAAGAUAAUGACGGUACCUAUAGAAGAAGCCCGGCUAACUUCGCGCCAGCAGCCGC
This 459-nucleotide ribosomal RNA is filed under the name uncultured bacterium. RNAcentral's name for it is "SSU rRNA". It matches the Rfam family "Bacterial small subunit ribosomal RNA", at positions 26 to 518 of the family's 1533-position model. The record is from RNAcentral.